Molecule: non-coding RNA, 509 nt
Organism: Danio rerio (zebrafish)
Lineage: Eukaryota; Metazoa; Chordata; Actinopteri; Cypriniformes; Danionidae
Source: Ensembl
CAGUAUUGGAUGCCUGAUUGCAGUUCAACUCCAAACUCAGUUGGACCAGCUGAUCAGUGUCUUCAGUAUUACCACAAGCUACUGGGCAGAUGUGUGGACACGACAGCUAUGAGCCAGACUUGGGACGUUUGGUUUUUAGGUAAUACCAGUGACAAAGUAUUCACAGGUGGAGAGACCGUCUGGGCAGCAGAAACAAGACAACUAAUCAUAGUUAGGUUGAGAUUAGUAUUAUUAACUUGACUAGUUUGGUUGCAGACUUGUUCAAUACUUAACAAUUUGUAUGAGUUACAAGAUCAAUGGUCCUGCUAUCAAUGUUUUUGUAACUUAAAUUCAUUACAGUUUAGAUACAAUCAAAUGUCCAAACCAUCUCUGAGUGAAUGACAUCAAGGAAACAGGAUCAAAAGAUCAUUCAUUAUAGACCGUUUCAUAGUUGGUUAUAUUUUUCAGGUCAUUCUGUUCUCCUGGUUGUGAGCAUGUGCAGAGGCUGUAUUUGUCAGUGUUAAAAGACU